UAGGGAAUCUUCCACAAUGGACGCAAGUCUGAUGGAGCAACGCCGCGUGAGUGAAGAAGGUUUUCGGAUCGUAAAGCUCUGUUGUUGGUGAAGAAGGAUAGAGGCAGUAACUGGUCUUUAUUUGACGGUAAUCAACCAGAAAGUCACGGCUAACUACGUGCCAGCAGCCGCGGUAAUACGUAGGUGGCAAGCGUUGUCCGGAUUUAUUGGGCGUAAAGCGAGCGCAGGCGGAAUGAUAAGUCUGAUGUGAAAGCCCACGGCUCAACCGUGGAACUGCAUCGGAAACUGUCUUUCUUGAGUGCAGAAGAGGAGAGUGGAAUUCCAUGUGUAGCGGUGGAAUGCGUAGAUAUAUGGAAGAACACCAGUGGCGAAGGCGGCUCUCUGGUCUGCAACUGACGCUGAGGCUCGAAAGCAUGGGUAGCGAACAGG
RNAcentral lists this ribosomal RNA (429 nucleotides) under Bacillota bacterium. RNAcentral describes it as "Firmicutes bacterium partial 16S ribosomal RNA". It matches the Rfam family "Bacterial small subunit ribosomal RNA", at positions 355 to 776 of the family's 1533-position model. Lineage: Bacteria; Bacillati; Bacillota. The record is from RNAcentral.